AGCAGUGGGGAAUAUUGGACAAUGGGCGAAAGCCUGAUCCAGCCAUGCCGCGUGUGUGAAGAAGGUCUUCGGAUUGUAAAGCACUUUAAGUUGGGAGGAAGGGCAUUAACCUAAUACGUUAGUGUUUUGACGUUACCGACAGAAUAAGCACCGGCUAACUCUGUGCCAGCAGCCGCGGUAAUACAGAGGGUGCAAGCGUUAAUCGGAAUUACUGGGCGUGAAGCGCGCGUAGGUGGUUUGUUAAGUUGGAUGUGAAAUCCCCGGGCUCAACCUGGGAACUGCAUUCAAAACUGACUGACUAGAGUAUGGUAGAGGGUGGUGGAAUUUCCUGUGUAGCGGUGAAAUGCGUAGAUAUAGGAAGGAACACCAGUGGCGAAGGCGACCACCUGGACUAAUACUGACACUGAGG
This 409-nucleotide ribosomal RNA is filed under the name uncultured bacterium. Its description in RNAcentral is "bacterial SSU rRNA". It matches the Rfam family "Bacterial small subunit ribosomal RNA", at positions 350 to 751 of the family's 1533-position model. The record is from RNAcentral.